This 849-nucleotide ribosomal RNA is filed under the name Bacillus zhangzhouensis. RNAcentral's name for it is "bacterial SSU rRNA". It matches the Rfam family "Bacterial small subunit ribosomal RNA", at positions 48 to 880 of the family's 1533-position model. Lineage: Bacteria; Bacillati; Bacillota; Bacilli; Caryophanales; Bacillaceae. The record is from RNAcentral.
GCUAUACAUGCAGUCGAGCGGACAGAAGGGAGCUUGCUCCCGGAUGUUAGCGGCGGACGGGUGAGUAACACGUGGGUAACCUGCCUGUAAGACUGGGAUAACUCCGGGAAACCGGAGCUAAUACCGGAUAGUUCCUUGAACCGCAUGGUUCAAGGAUGAAAGACGGUUUCGGCUGUCACUUACAGAUGGACCCGCGGCGCAUUAGCUAGUUGGUGGGGUAAUGGCUCACCAAGGCGACGAUGCGUAGCCGACCUGAGAGGGUGAUCGGCCACACUGGGACUGAGACACGGCCCAGACUCCUACGGGAGGCAGCAGUAGGGAAUCUUCCGCAAUGGACGAAAGUCUGACGGAGCAACGCCGCGUGAGUGAUGAAGGUUUUCGGAUCGUAAAGCUCUGUUGUUAGGGAAGAACAAGUGCGAGAGUAACUGCUCGCACCUUGACGGUACCUAACCAGAAAGCCACGGCUAACUACGUGCCAGCAGCCGCGGUAAUACGUAGGUGGCAAGCGUUGUCCGGAAUUAUUGGGCGUAAAGGGCUCGCAGGCGGUUUCUUAAGUCUGAUGUGAAAGCCCCCGGCUCAACCGGGGAGGGUCAUUGGAAACUGGGAAACUUGAGUGCAGAAGAGGAGAGUGGAAUUCCACGUGUAGCGGUGAAAUGCGUAGAGAUGUGGAGGAACACCAGUGGCGAAGGCGACUCUCUGGUCUGUAACUGACGCUGAGGAGCGAAAGCGUGGGGAGCGAACAGGAUUAGAUACCCUGGUAGUCCACGCCGUAAACGAUGAGUGCUAAGUGUUAGGGGGUUUCCGCCCCUUAGUGCUGCAGCUAACGCAUUAAGCACUCCGCCUGGGGAG